GCGGGUAUAGUGUAAUGGUAGCACGAAGCCUUCCCAAGGCUUUAGUGGGGGUUCGAAUCCCCUUACCCGCU
RNAcentral lists this transfer RNA (71 nucleotides) under Pseudomonadota bacterium. RNAcentral describes it as "tRNA-Gly". It matches the Rfam family "tRNA". Rfam says of the family: Transfer RNA (tRNA) molecules are approximately 80 nucleotides in length. Their secondary structure includes four short double-helical elements and three loops (D, anti-codon, and T loops). RNAcentral also lists the same sequence under 2 other names. Lineage: Bacteria; Pseudomonadati; Pseudomonadota. The record is from RNAcentral.